RNAcentral lists this ribosomal RNA (1312 nucleotides) under Salmonella enterica subsp. enterica. RNAcentral's name for it is "partial 23S ribosomal RNA". It matches the Rfam family "Bacterial large subunit ribosomal RNA", at positions 1638 to 2925 of the family's 2925-position model. The record is from RNAcentral. Lineage: Bacteria; Pseudomonadati; Pseudomonadota; Gammaproteobacteria; Enterobacterales; Enterobacteriaceae.
CAAAUCGUACCCCAAACCGACACAGGUGGUCAGGUAGAGAAUACCAAGGCGCUUGAGAGAACUCGGGUGAAGGAACUAGGCAAAAUGGUGCCGUAACUUCGGGAGAAGGCACGCUGACACGUAGGUGAAGUGAUUUACUCAUGGAGCUGAAGUCAGUCGAAGAUACCAGCUGGCUGCAACUGUUUAUUAAAAACACAGCACUGUGCAAACACGAAAGUGGACGUAUACGGUGUGACGCCUGCCCGGUGCCGGAAGGUUAAUUGAUGGGGUCAGCGCAAGCGAAGCUCCUGAUCGAAGCCCCGGUAAACGGCGGCCGUAACUAUAACGGUCCUAAGGUAGCGAAAUUCCUUGUCGGGUAAGUUCCGACCUGCACGAAUGGCGUAAUGAUGGCCAGGCUGUCUCCACCCGAGACUCAGUGAAAUUGAACUCGCUGUGAAGAUGCAGUGUACCCGCGGCAAGACGGAAAGACCCCGUGAACCUUUACUAUAGCUUGACACUGAACAUUGAGCCUUGAUGUGUAGGAUAGGUGGGAGGCUUUGAAGCGUGGACGCCAGUCUGCGUGGAGCCGACCUUGAAAUACCACCCUUUAAUGUUUGAUGUUCUAACGUGGACCCGUUACCCGGGUUGCGGACAGUGUCUGGUGGGUAGUUUGACUGGGGCGGUCUCCUCCUAAAGAGUAACGGAGGAGCACGAAGGUUGGCUAAUCCUGGUCGGACAUCAGGAGGUUAGUGCAAUGGCAUAAGCCAGCUUGACUGCGAGCGUGACGGCGCGAGCAGGUGCGAAAGCAGGUCAUAGUGAUCCGGUGGUUCUGAAUGGAAGGGCCAUCGCUCAACGGAUAAAAGGUACUCCGGGGAUAACAGGCUGAUACCGCCCAAGAGUUCAUAUCGACGGCGGUGUUUGGCACCUCGAUGUCGGCUCAUCACAUCCUGGGGCUGAAGUAGGUCCCAAGGGUAUGGCUGUUCGCCAUUUAAAGUGGUACGCGAGCUGGGUUUAGAACGUCGUGAGACAGUUCGGUCCCUAUCUGCCGUGGGCGCUGGAGAACUGAGGGGGGCUGCUCCUAGUACGAGAGGACCGGAGUGGACGCAUCACUGGUGUUCGGGUUGUCAUGCCAAUGGCACUGCCCGGUAGCUAAAUGCGGAAGAGAUAAGUGCUGAAAGCAUCUAAGCACGAAACUUGCCCCGAGAUGAGUUCUCCCUGAGACUUAGAGUCUCCUGAAGGAACGUUGAAGACGACGACGUUGAUAGGCCGGGUGUGUAAGCGCAGCGAUGCGUUGAGCUAACCGGUACUAAUGAACCGUGAGGCUUAACCUUAC